UGCAGUCGAGCGAUGAUGCCCAGCUGCUGGGUUGAUUAGUGGCGACGGGUGAGUAACACGUGAGUACCUGCCCCUGACUCUGGGAUAAGCGUUGGAAACGACGUCUAAUACUGGAUAUGAUCGCCGGCCGCAUGGUCUGGUGGUGGAAGAUUUUUUGGUUGGGGAUGGACUCGCGGCCUAUCAGCUUGUUGGUGAGGUAAUGGCUCACCAAGGCGACGACGGGUAGCCGGCCUGAGAGGGUGACCGGCCACACUGGGACUGAGACACGGCCCAGACUCCUACGGGAGGCAGCAGUGGGGAAUAUUGCACAAUGGGCGAAAGCCUGAUGCAGCAACGCCGCGUGAGGGAUGACGGCCUUCGGGUUGUAAACCUCUUUUAGUAGGGAAGAAGCGAAAGUGACGGUACCUGCAGAAAAAGCACCGGCUACUACGUGCCAGCAGCCGCGGUAAUACGUAGGGUGCAAGCGUUGUCCGGAACUAUUGGGCGUAAGAGCUCGUAGCGGUUUGUCGCGUCUGCUGUGAAUCCCGAGGCUCAC
Molecule: ribosomal RNA, 535 nt
Filed under: Curtobacterium sp.
Lineage: Bacteria; Bacillati; Actinomycetota; Actinomycetes; Micrococcales; Microbacteriaceae
Description: bacterial SSU rRNA
Rfam family: Bacterial small subunit ribosomal RNA
Source: RNAcentral